AUACUUACCUGGACGGGGUCGAUGGGUGAUCAGGAAGACCUAUGGCCUAGAUCAAUGGUUCACAUUGCACUUGGUGGAUACGUUGGUCUACCGUCUCCUCAAGUAGGAGAGUGGACGUCAUAAUUUGUGGCAGAGGGGUAUGCGUUCGCGCGGCCCCUAC
Small nuclear RNA from Panicum hallii, 160 nucleotides. RefSeq annotates it as U1 spliceosomal RNA. Lineage: Eukaryota; Viridiplantae; Streptophyta; Magnoliopsida; Poales; Poaceae. The transcript has a single exon. The record is from RefSeq and is a predicted model, not a curated record.